AGUAGCCGCGGGAAUACGUAGGUGGCAAGCGUUGUCCGGAAUUAUUGGGCGUAAAGGGCUCGCAGGCGGUUUCUUAAGUCUGAUGUGAAAGCCCCCGGCUCAACCGGGGAGGGUCAUUGGAAACUGGGAAACUUGAGUGCAGAAGAGGAGAGUGGAAUUCCACGUGUAGCGGUGAAAUGCGUAGAGAUGUGGAGGAACACCAGUGGCGAAGGCGACUCUCUGGUCUGUAGCUGACGCUGAGGAGCGAAAGCGUGGGGAGCGAACAGGAUUAGAUACCCGGGUAGUCCCUGUCUCUUAUACA
This 301-nucleotide ribosomal RNA is filed under the name uncultured bacterium. Its description in RNAcentral is "partial 16S ribosomal RNA". It matches the Rfam family "Bacterial small subunit ribosomal RNA", at positions 510 to 808 of the family's 1533-position model. The record is from RNAcentral.